AGGUGGCAAAGGAUAUUCUCACUACAAUUUAGUAGUAAUUUGUUUGGUUCUACUCCCUCCGUUCCGAAUUACUUGUCUUGAAUUUGUCUAGAUACGGAUGUAUCUAGAUUCAUUUUAGUGCUAGAUACCUCCGUAUCUAGACAAAUCUAAGACAAGUAAUUCGGAACGGAGGGAGUACUAUCAUAUAUGUCAUCCAAAUUUUUAGUACUAAUUGAUGCAAUUGUUAUGCUACUUCUUCAUGCAUGGUUUCUUGCAUGUUCCUUAAAAAAGCUUAGUACCGAUCGUUUGGUUUAAUAUAUUUUCAGGCAAUCAUGGUUGAUUUAUUUUUCUUGUAAGAAGAGUGAAUGCAUUGUUU
RNAcentral lists this long non-coding RNA (355 nucleotides) under Triticum aestivum (bread wheat). Its description in RNAcentral is "long non-coding RNA (TAES_LNC006281)". The stretch from base 47 to 181 matches the Rfam family "MIR1120/MIR1122 microRNA precursor family". Lineage: Eukaryota; Viridiplantae; Streptophyta; Magnoliopsida; Poales; Poaceae. The record is from RNAcentral.